AGCGAACGCUGGCGGCAGGCCUAACACAUGCCAGUCGAACGAACCUUUCGGGGUUAGUGGCGGACGGGUGAGUAACACGUGGGAACGUGCCUUUAGGUUCGGAAUAACUCAGGGAAACUUGUGCUAAUACCGAAUGUGCCCUUCGGGGGAAAGAUUUAUCGCCUUUAGAGCGGCCCGCGUCUGAUUAGCUAGUUGGUUGAGGUAAUGGCUCACCAAGGCGACGAUCAGUAGCUGGUCUGAGAGGAUGAUCAGCCACAUUGGGACUGAGACACGGCCCAAACUCCUACGGGAGGCAGCAGUGGGGAAUCUUGCGCAAUGGGCGAAAGCCUGACGCAGCCAUGCCGCGUGAAUGAUGUAGGUCUUAGGAUUGUAAAAUUCUUUCACCGGGGACGAUAAUGACGGUACCCGGAGAAGAAGCCCCGGCUAACUUCGUG
RNAcentral lists this ribosomal RNA (434 nucleotides) under uncultured bacterium. RNAcentral describes it as "partial 16S ribosomal RNA". It matches the Rfam family "Bacterial small subunit ribosomal RNA", at positions 29 to 507 of the family's 1533-position model. The record is from RNAcentral.